UCAAAAAAAUCGAAACGUCAAGGCUACGUGAAAAAUCACGUAGAACCUGGAAAAUGAAUUUUUCAAGAAUUUACCUGACAUACGUAACAAUCAUCGGAACAUAGAUCAAAAUGAAAUGAACUGUCAAUAGGUGCUACUAAAAUUCCCUAUCACUACUACGUGAUGAUCUCGUACGUAGAGUCUCGUUCAUUUUGACAGCUGAAUGUUAUGUUCAUUCAGUAUCCAUCCUACUGUGUGUCGGACGGACCGAAAACCGUAAACGACAUUUUAACCUAUCAAUCAUCCAACUUGGUGAAAAAAAGCUGCAGCCAGGAUGUUUCCGAUAGUGACUACCGGACUUACGUGUAAAGUUCAAAAUGACACAAAUCGAGCCUCCAAUUUUGCAUGAAAUAACAACUAUAGAUUCAUUCAAUGGAGUUUUUAAUAAGAACAUCUCCCGCCCGCGUGCAAGAACCAGCUUCUCGGACCAUCUAGACUAUGGAAGCAUUGCACCAAAUGUGAGAAUUAAAGAUCAUCAGUGCAAUAAAUAAUGCAGUUAAGAAAAUUA
Molecule: long non-coding RNA, 547 nt
Organism: Aedes aegypti (yellow fever mosquito)
Lineage: Eukaryota; Metazoa; Arthropoda; Insecta; Diptera; Culicidae
Exons: 2
Source: RefSeq, a predicted model, not a curated record